GAUGAACGCUGGCGGCGUGCCUAAUACAUGCAAGUCGAGCGAACGGACGAGAAGCUUGCUUCUCUGAUGUUAGCGGCGGACGGGUGAGUAACACGUGGAUAACCUACCUAUAAGACUGGGAUAACUUCGGGAAACCGGAGCUAAUACCGGAUAAUAUUUUGAACCGCAUGGUUCAAAAGUGAAAGACGGUCUUGCUGUCACUUAUAGAUGGAUCCGCGCUGCAUUAGCUAAUUGGUAAGGUAACGGCUUACCAAGGCAACGAUGCAUAGCCGACCUGAGAGGGUGAUCGGCCACACUGGAACUGAGACACGGUCCAGACUCCUACGGGAGGCAGCAGUAGGGAAUCUUCCGCAAUGGGCGAAAGCCUGACGGAGCAACGCCGCGUGAGUGAUGAAGGUCUUCGGAUCGUAAAACUCUGUUAUUAGGGAAGAACAUAUGUGUAAGUAACUGCGCACAUCUUGACGGUACCUAAUCAGAAAGCCACGGCUAACUACGUG
RNAcentral lists this ribosomal RNA (497 nucleotides) under uncultured bacterium. Its description in RNAcentral is "partial 16S ribosomal RNA". It matches the Rfam family "Bacterial small subunit ribosomal RNA", at positions 28 to 507 of the family's 1533-position model. The record is from RNAcentral.